Long non-coding RNA from Camellia sinensis, 994 nucleotides. RefSeq lists it as uncharacterized. The record is from RefSeq and is a predicted model, not a curated record. NCBI's taxonomy places the organism in Eukaryota, Viridiplantae, Streptophyta, Magnoliopsida, Ericales, Theaceae.
UUGCAUAUCUAUUUUUUUUUUCAGUUUUUAUUUGAUAAAUUCAAUGAGAGCCUUGAAUUACAUCCCUUAUUCGAUUAAUUCAGUUUCUCCUCUCUCAUCUCUCUUUGAUUUUGAUUUUAAUUUCUAGAGUUUUGAUUUUGAUUUCUUGGGUUCUCAUCUCUCAUCUCUCUUUGAUUUUGAUUUGAUUUUGAAUCAGUUUCUCCAUUUGAUUAAUUUGGUAUAUAUUGUUGGUUGCAUAUCUAUUUUUUCAGUUUCUAUUCGAUUAAUUCAGUGUUUGCAUAUCUAUUAGUUUGGGAAUGUGAGAGCCUUGAAUUACAUCCCUUGUUCAAUUAACUUAUUCAGAUAUACAUGAAAAAACAGAGCAGCACUUUAUUGAAUUUAUUCGAUUAAUUCAGUUUCUCCUCUCUCAUUUGAUUUUGAUUUUGAUUUUGAUUUCUAGGGUUUCCACUUCUAUGAUUGCUCAUUUUGUUUGAAGCUCAUACACCUCUCUAGCCUUUGUCUCCACCAAAUCCCACCGCGAUCUUUGGAAAAGGGGCAAUUAAUUGAACAAGCAUAAUGUUGGAGUUGAUGCAAGUUUUAUGGAUGCAAAUCUUUCUAGAUAUGAUAGUAUUUGCAUUGGGAGGGGACAACCUGGUGGUUGCAGAAGGCCAAAUUGCAUCAAGGGGUCCUAAGUCAAAGGUGCAUCAUGUGACCCUUGGCCUUAUGUUGGAAAGUAUGGGUGAGCCACGUAAUAGUCAACGUGUCGUUGUUUCGUUCUACUCAUGAAAUGUAUAAUCUUCAAGAUGCAAUAGGAAGUAUAGUUGUAUGGCUUAGUCAAUUCAUUCUUUCGGACUAAAUAUUAGACUAAUUGAUUUACGAUUUGUAGUUAUGUUUUUUGGAUGUUUAAAGUCGUAUUUUAGAGAUUAGUGAAUCUUAUAAUUUGGAUGCUUUUCUUGGUUUAUAUAUCUGAAGUUGUUAUCAGCUUGAUAUGAUAGAAGUUGAUGAUGGAAGUUAA